GCUGUUUAUGCUCUAUAGGAGAAUAUUAUGACAAAUUUGACAAAAUGUGUUAGGACUUUGUAUACAUUUCACCUAGGAACUCAAAAUGUGCUUGCUGCUAAUUUGUCUUAUAUCCUCAUCAGUAUGGUGACUGUGGACCAAAGUGUUUAUGUGGCAUAUUGCCUUAGUUUUUAUGAAACUGCAAUUACAGUGUGAAUCAUAGCUUUGAUCAGAGAAGUGAGAAGGAUGCUAUGUGGUUGUCCCAAACAGCUCACAUUCACCAGGGCUAACUGCUUGGAAGCUCUUUGGCCUGUAGGAUGUAUGCAUUAUCUUCUUCACUUAAUCCUCUCCAUUUUAUAAAUGACAAGAUGGAACUCCUUUAGAGAAAUUAUGUGAGGUGGGCACAUCCCUUAACUGGGGACUGCAAACCGUUUUUAGAUUCUAAGAUUAGAUUUGUAAGCACAUUGAGUUUUGGAAAUUACCGUUUUUAGAUUCUAAGUUUAGAUUUGUAAGCACACUGAGUUUUAUCUCUGUGCCAAUUGCAAAUAAAGCCCCUCAGGAGGAAAGGCAAGGGGCCACAUGCAGACCAAGGAAUACCAACCGAGUGUAUCCUGUUUUGAAUGUGGUGCUGUGUUCCUGACGAGGCCUCUCUGGUAACAUAUGGUGGUGUUGUCAAAUUGUACUAUUUACAGCCAUGGGGCUGGGCUUGUAGGACUCAUGGGGGAAAAAAAAUUAAAAGAACAAAAACAAUAUCCAUUAACCUCUUUGCUCUGAGUCAUUAUCACCAAUCAGUCUGGAGUUUGUUCUCAUUUUGCUUUGUGUUUUGGCCACCAGGUAAAUUCCCCAGUGACACAGAUGGCUUGUUGGAUGGAGCUCACCACUGAGCCUCUGGCCUGUCAGGCGGUUCAGCUGGUUGUCAGGAUAAAAGGACGACAGGGCUGGCUGCCUCUGUCUCCUGUGAGCUUCUCAAGUGACAAAUGCUAGUGCUUCAGAAACAAACAAACAAAAAGAGUAAGAGGAAAAAUGCCUGUGAGCGAGUGGAGGGCAGUUAUGUUCUUCAUCUCACCUGCAUCUGAGAGCUUAGAUGUCACAGGAAUCAUUAGAACGCCUCAUAGGAGAACACAGGAACAGGCUGCUCUGUUUUAUUAUUUUCUUUUCUUUAUUAAAGUAUACUCGAUUUACAGUGUUGUGUUAGUUGGCAGGCUGAUUAGCUCGGUUAGAGUGUGUGCUAAUAAAAUGUUGUGUUAGUUUCAGUGUACUGCAAAGUGAUUCAUAUAUAUAAAUUCUUUUUCAGAUUAUUAUCCAUUAUAGGUUAUUGGAAAAUAUUGAGUAAAUUUCCCUGUGCUAUGUAGUAGGUCUUUGUUGAUUAUCCAUUUUAUAUGUUGUAGUUUUUAUCUGCUAAUUCAAACUCCUAAUUUAUUCCUCCCCUCUUCCACUUUGGUAACCUUAAGUUUGUUUUCUAUGUUUGUGGUCUAUUUCUGUUUUGUAUAUAAGUUCAUUUGUAUCCUGUUUUAGAUUCUACAUGUGUAAUAUUUGUCUUUCUCUGAUUUACUUCACUCAGUAUGAUAAGCUAUAGGUUAUCCUAGUUUCCACAAAUGACAUCAUUUCAUUCUUUUUUAUGGCUAAGUAAUAUUCCAUUGUAUAAAUGUACCACAUCUUCUUUGUCCAUUCAACUGCCUAUAGAAAUUUAGGCUAUUUCCAUGUCAUGGCUAUUGUGAUUAGUGUUGCUGUGAAUGUUGGGGUGCGUGUAUCUUUUCAAAUUAGAGUUUCCUCCUGUUAUAUGCCCAGGAGUGGGAUUGAUGGAUCAUUUGAUAGUUGUUUUUAGUUUUUUAAGGAACCUCCCUCCUGUUCUCCAUAGUGACUGCACUAUUUAUUCAUCAGAAUACAGAAACAUAGACCAUCAUCUCAACACGCAGCUCAGUAGAAAGUCAGGACAGAACUGUACAGGAGGAGCACACAGGGAGAUGUGGACUUAGAAGUAGCAUCUAAGGAAGAUUGCAUGGGUUUAAGGCUCAGGAAAUGGCAGGUGUUCACCCACCAGGCAGAGACAUGGGUCAUGGUCUUAGAGCAAGACCAGCUUCCAUGAAAGUUUGGAGAAAAGUGCAGGGUGAGGUGGUUUGGGACCUCAUUGGCUGAGCACAGUCUGUGGGUUCAUCACAUGGUCCCUGUGCCUGGCUGCUCCUACCCAUGCAGACAGUCCUGGGGACCAUACUGUUCAUUCCUGACCUCAAGCCUGAGCUUGGCUCUUGCCUUGGCCUUGUGUCUUUUCUAUGUAUCCUUCCUGGUCUUGUUGCAGGACACCUCCUGCCUCUUAGUACCAGGGAGAGGAGUCCUUCUUUGUAUCAACCUCCUGCAGUACUCCCAUCAGGAUUAACCACUGAUAUGUCUAUUUCUCUGAGUGAUGCUGAAUGGUGACUGGGUGCCAGAUGUGCUCAGACAUGGGGUCCUGACAAAAAUGAUCCAUAGGAGAAGUUUGUGUUGGACUCCACCCUUAACUCCCCCUUGCUACUUAGAGUCUGUUGUCCUGGAAUGUCCCCCUAAUUCUUCCCCAUGACCCUCAAUAUGUCCAUCUCAGCAGCUUAAGACAUUUAGGUUGACAUGGUUCCUGCAGAUAAUCUUGUAAAGGGCUUCUACUGCCAAUUCUUCAGGAACAGGUCCUUAGCACAAAAUAAUUAGCCAGCAUGUCCAAACUGAUGAAAUGUCAGAAAAUUUUGAAGGGGUUCUCAUAUCAGCUACUCUUUAUGAGUUUCAACAGUGUUCUUAUAAAAAGAAGUGUCUUAAUCACCACAAAGCUCUGAUGGUAGAAAUGUUAAGUGAGGAAGAAAUAAGAGGCUUUUAAAAAGUUCAUAUUCAAGUCAGGGCUCCUGGCUAGUUGGCAGCUCCAUCCACACACAGGGCAGCUUCCCUUUCACAACAGUGUUAAACUCAGAAAGCAAAAGCAAAAACCCAACUGGAACAAUGAUAUGUUUUCCAUAUGAAUGUUGCUGCUUCUUUUAUUGAAAUGCAUGUCAUUGUUCUUGAGGCUGGAAGGCUGAAGAUGAGUGAUGGCAUUUUCCAACUGUGCAGUCAAGCGCCGACCGCAGAACAAUGCGCUUUAAUAAACCUAGUGCAACGUAUCCGGAGGGCUUUGAUCAGCAGGUGCGUCUGGGCAUCACACUACUUCUCUUUCCUUCCUGUUUCCUUCUUUCUGAUGAAUAACCAAAUUAGACUGGAUGGCAGAAAACUUCUUGCAACAGAGUUCGUGUGAACUUCAGUAUCCUGAUUUUACUUUCACCUUCAUCUGAGAAUUUGCCUCCAAAGAAAAAAAAUAAAAUAAAACGAAGGAAUAAAAGGACGUCUGUCUCUUAGAUUGCAAAGCACCUGAUGUUCAGGUUAGUCUCAGCCUCGGAACUGACUUUGUUCCUGAACGCAGUGGGUUAGGACAGUCUGGUAUCUGUUAAAUGCUACUCAGUGUAAAAGCAUUCCUUCAACUCUUACCUCAUUGCUUCUGAAUCUGGGACACACCUUCCAACACCAUCUCCUUUAGUCCUAAGUGGAAAUAGCAGGUACGAAAGUAAGCCUUAUGACCACACACCCUUCACCUCAUUUCCUUUAAGACACAGAACUAUAAUUAGAACCACAAGAGUCACCUGGAUUUUCCACUUUGGAGUGGAGGAAAUCCGUGUCAUUAUUUGUGCGUACUGUACUGUUGAAGACACAAAUGUUUCUCAAUACAAUCUGAUUUUGAAGUAGGGGAGAGAAAAAAUAAUGCAUACAUUAAAACAGCAAUCAGAUAUUAUGUGGGAAUCUUGAAAGGAUAAGAAACUCAGAUGAAAAUACUAGAAUAAUCACUUCACUUCCCUUUCUUCCACUUAUAAUAACUUUUGGUGUCAGGCCAAAAUAUUGUUUCACACCCAGGGCAUCUGUGGGUCAUUUUACCCUACAAAGUCACAACCAUUUACAAAAAAAAAAAAAAAA
RNAcentral lists this long non-coding RNA (3936 nucleotides) under Sus scrofa (pig). RNAcentral describes it as "lncRNA (ENSSSCG00000049782.2)". The record is from RNAcentral. Lineage: Eukaryota; Metazoa; Chordata; Mammalia; Artiodactyla; Suidae.